GUAGGGGGCAAGCGUUGUCCGGAUUUAUUGGGCGUAAAGCGCGCGUAGGCGGCGCGGUAUGUCGUGCGUGAAAUCUCCCGGCUUAACUGGGAGGGGCCGUGCGAAACUGCCGGGCUUGAGGUCAGAAGGGGAAAGUGGAAUUCCGGGUGUAGUGGUGGAAUACGUAGAUAUCCGGAGGAACACCAGCGGCGAAGGCGGCUUUCUGGUCUGAUACUGACGCUGAGGCGCGAAAGCGUGGGGAGCGAUCCGGAUUAGAUACCCGGGUAGUCCACGCCGUAAACGAUGAGUACUAGGUGUCGGGGGUAUCGACCCCCUCGGUGCCGUCGCUAACGCAUUAAGUACUCCGCCUGGGGACUACGGCCGCAAGGCUAAA
Molecule: ribosomal RNA, 373 nt
Filed under: uncultured bacterium
Lineage: Bacteria
Description: bacterial SSU rRNA
Rfam family: Bacterial small subunit ribosomal RNA
Source: RNAcentral